AAUAUGGUCAUCACUGAUAACUAGAACUAUCCAGCAGUGACUCUAUUACAAACAUGAUACACAAAUGUGUUUCUUUAGUUUGGAUACAUCCCAGAUCAUGGCUGUAAAUUUUUAUGUUAAGGUUCUAGAAAGGUUUCAAUGCUUGUAAAACAGAUAAUUGAAAUGAAAACCAAGGUCUGGAGAGGAGCACUGUAAAAGUGUGACAUUUCACAGUAAUUGAUUGGAACACUGAGACAACUAUGCAAGAAAAGUAUUUGGUGCAGUUCUGGAAGACAAGGAAAUAAUGCAAAGAUGAAGCAAAUGUUGAACUGGGACAAAGCUGCUGCCCAUUAUAACCAGGACUUUUCAACAUAUUUCUUGAACAAAUCCUGACUGGUACCCAAGAAGAUUCUGAAGGCACAGGAUUGGCAGAAGAUUAAUUGCAACCUUAAGAUUUCCAGACAAUGUUGAUCUGUUAACCUGUCCUAAAAGUGAAUUAUUUGAUAUUAGGAGAUUAGAUAUUUAUUCAAGAAAUAUGGUGAGGAGAAUUUGGGUUAUGGGGAUGAAAGAACUGAGAUACAGAUGUGAAUUGAAAUAGAACAAUUAUCAAAGAUCUGGAACAGCAAAAACAUUACAAUGAGUAACAAGCUAUGGCUAAUACAAUCUAUGAUAAGUGCAAUUGUUUCGUAUGGAUGGGAGACAUAGACAUGCUCAAAUAGCAUGGAGAACCCAUGCCAGCAUG
Molecule: long non-coding RNA, 721 nt
Organism: Octopus sinensis (East Asian common octopus)
Lineage: Eukaryota; Metazoa; Mollusca; Cephalopoda; Octopoda; Octopodidae
Exons: 2
Source: RefSeq, a predicted model, not a curated record